UACGGAGGGUGCAAGCGUUGUUCGGACUCUUUGGGAGUAAAGCGCGUGUAGGCGGCUAUUUAAGUCUGAUGUGAAAGCCCGGGGCUUAACCCCGGAAGUGCAUUGGAUACUGGGUAGCUAGAGGGCGAGAGAGGAUAAUGGAAUUCCUGGUGUAGGGGUUAAAUCCGUAGAUAUCAGGAGUAACAUCAGAGGCGAAGGCGCUUCUCUGGCUCGUUUCUGACUCUGUGACGCGAAAACUUUGGGAGCAGUCAGG
Molecule: ribosomal RNA, 253 nt
Filed under: uncultured bacterium
Lineage: Bacteria
Description: partial 16S ribosomal RNA
Rfam family: Bacterial small subunit ribosomal RNA
Source: RNAcentral